Molecule: ribosomal RNA, 57 nt
Filed under: Acanthaster planci (crown-of-thorns starfish)
Lineage: Eukaryota; Metazoa; Echinodermata; Asteroidea; Valvatida; Acanthasteridae
Description: partial 16S ribosomal RNA
Source: RNAcentral
UAAUCGUAGAUAGAAACUGACCUGGCUCACGCCGGUCUGAACUCAGAUCACGUAGGA